UUGGAGGGCAAGUCUGGUGCCAGCAGCCGCGGUAAUUCCAGCUCCAAUAGCGUAUAUUAAAGUUGUUGCAGUUAAAAAGCUCGUAGUUGAAUUUCGGGGUUAGUAGAUUGGUCAUGCCAUCGGUAUGCACUGGUCUCACUGAUUCCUCCUUCCUGAUGAGCCGUAAUGCCAUUAAUUUGGUGUUGCGGGGAAUUUGGACUGUUACUUUGAAAAAAUUAGAGUGUUUAAAGCAAGCUAACGCUUGAAUACAUUAGCAUGGAAUAAUGAAGUAGGACGUUCGAUCCUAUUUUGUUGGUUUCUAGGAUUGACGUAAUGAUUAAUAGGGAUAGUUGGGGGCAUUAGUAUUCAAUUGUCAGAGGUGAAAUUCUUGGAUUUAUUGAAGACUAACUACUGCGAAAGCAUUUGCCAAGGAUGUUUUCAUUAAUCAAGAACGAAAGUUAGGGGAUCGAAGACGAUCAGAUACCGUCGUAGUCUUAACCAUAAACUAUGCCGACUAGGGAUCGGAUGAUGUUAAUUUUUUAAUGACUCAUUCGGCGCCUUACGGGAAAC
Molecule: ribosomal RNA, 549 nt
Filed under: uncultured Glomeromycotina
Lineage: Eukaryota; Fungi; Glomeromycota
Description: SSU rRNA
Rfam family: Eukaryotic small subunit ribosomal RNA
Source: RNAcentral